RNAcentral lists this ribosomal RNA (523 nucleotides) under Lactobacillus sp. 139. Its description in RNAcentral is "bacterial SSU rRNA". It matches the Rfam family "Bacterial small subunit ribosomal RNA", at positions 162 to 671 of the family's 1533-position model. The record is from RNAcentral. Lineage: Bacteria; Bacillati; Bacillota; Bacilli; Lactobacillales; Lactobacillaceae.
GCUAAUACCGCAUAACAACAAAAACCGCCUGGUUUUUGUUUAAAAGAUGGUUUCGGCUAUCACUUUUGGAUGGACCCGCGGCGUAUUAGCUAGUUGGUAAGGUAACGGCUUACCAAGGCAGUGAUACGUAGCCGAACUGAGAGGUUGAUCGGCCACAUUGGGACUGAGACACGGCCCAAACUCCUACGGGAGGCAGCAGUAGGGAAUCUUCCACAAUGGACGCAAGUCUGAUGGAGCAACGCCGCGUGAGUGAAGAAGGUUUUCGGAUCGUAAAACUCUGUUGUUAGAGAAGAACGUGUGUGAGAGUAACUGUUCAUGCAGUGACGGUAUCUAACCAGAAAGCCACGGCUAACUACGUGCCAGCAGCCGCGGUAAUACGUAGGUGGCAAGCGUUGUCCGGAUUUAUUGGGCGUAAAGGGAACGCAGGCGGUCUUUUAAGUCUGAUGUGAAAGCCUUCGGCUUAACCGAAGUCGUGCAUUGGAAACUGGGAGACUUGAGUGCAGAAGAGGAGAGUGGAACUCCA